ACCUGGCUGGCUCAGUUGGUAGAGCAUGCAACUCUUGAUCUCAGGGUCAUGAGUUCAAGCCCCAUAUUGGGUA
RNAcentral lists this transfer RNA (73 nucleotides) under Ursus americanus (American black bear). It matches the Rfam family "tRNA". Rfam says of the family: Transfer RNA (tRNA) molecules are approximately 80 nucleotides in length. The record is from Rfam by way of RNAcentral. RNAcentral also lists the same sequence under 2 other names. Lineage: Eukaryota; Metazoa; Chordata; Mammalia; Carnivora; Ursidae.